RNAcentral lists this ribosomal RNA (612 nucleotides) under Aquitalea sp. Se1Pw_3556. RNAcentral's name for it is "bacterial SSU rRNA". It matches the Rfam family "Bacterial small subunit ribosomal RNA", at positions 398 to 1004 of the family's 1533-position model. Lineage: Bacteria; Pseudomonadati; Pseudomonadota; Betaproteobacteria; Neisseriales; Chromobacteriaceae. The record is from RNAcentral.
CGCGUGUCUGAAAAGGCCUUCGGGUUGUAAAGGACUUUUGUCAGGGAGGAAAUCCCUAAGGUUAAUACCCUUGGGGGAUGACAGUACCUGAAGAAUAAGCACCGGCUAACUACGUGCCAGCAGCCGCGGUAAUACGUAGGGUGCAAGCGUUAAUCGGAAUUACUGGGCGUAAAGCGUGCGCAGGCGGUUGUGUAAGUCUGAUGUGAAAGCCCCGGGCUCAACCUGGGAACUGCAUUGGAGACUGCACGGCUAGAGUGCGUCAGAGGGGGGUAGAAUUCCGCGUGUAGCAGUGAAAUGCGUAGAGAUGCGGAGGAAUACCGAUGGCGAAGGCAGCCCCCUGGGAUGACACUGACGCUCAUGCACGAAAGCGUGGGGAGCAAACAGGAUUAGAUACCCUGGUAGUCCACGCCCUAAACGAUGUCAACUAGCUGUUGGGGGUUUGAAUCCUUGGUAGCGUAGCUAACGCGAGAAGUUGACCGCCUGGGGAGUACGGCCGCAAGGUUAAAACUCAAAGGAAUUGACGGGGACCCGCACAAGCGGUGGAUGAUGUGGAUUAAUUCGAUGCAACGCGAAAAACCUUACCUGGUCUUGACAUGUACAGAACUUUCCAGA